GAGUUUGUACCAGUUUGCUGGAGGCAAAUGAGAACCAGAACUCACAGAACACCUUGGGCAGAUUUAGAAUAUUUUAAAUAGCUUGUGACCUACACUCCUGAAUGAAGAGAAGCAGAUUUUAAGAUGUCUGUCUGUCAGACAUGUUAACACAAAUGUGGCUGUUUAUAGACAAACUGCUAAUGAGAUUUUCCUUCAGUGUAGAGGUUCAACCAAAAACACAUUAACUCACAGCCACAUGGAAUUAUGUUAAACAAUAACUGUAACAGAGCAGACUUCUGUUCUCUCACUCUCUCCUCCUCAGGUUGUAUUUGUGCUAUUCUACACCCACACUCAACAACAAAGACUGCAUUGUUGCUCUUAUCAGACUCUGUGGGAGUCAGUUUGCGAUGCUAAUGGAACUUAGCUCCAUAUUGUGUUCUGUAAAACAUGUUCCCUGAGACAUGGGCAAUGGAAUGAAUGCUUCUAUCAGAGCUCUAAUGACCUAACAUUCCUAAAUAUUUUAGGGUGGAUAUCUAUGUCUGCUAUAUACUUUGCAUUCUUUUAAGUCAUUACAUAACCUGAGUGCUAACCUGUCAAAUCUCGACCUCAAGGCUGACUGUGAGUGAAGUGAGCCUUUGUUAACCUCUAAUAAGCUCUAUUACACAUACCAAUUAUGAUAUCAAUUAUUUUAGUUAACUUAUUUAUUUAAUCAAUUAAUCGUUCGAAAGAAAAUCAAUUGGCAGAUAUUUUGAUAAAUGUUUAGGUCAUUUUUUAAACAAAAACAGCAAAGAUUUGAUGGUUUCCAGGUUCUCAAAUGUGAUAAUUUGCUGCUUUUCUGGGUCUAACAUGACAGCAAAUUGAAUUCUGGGAGGAUUUAGACUGUAAACAAGACAUUUAAUGAUGUCAUCUUUUAUACUGUUUUUGAUUAAUUUAGGAUUAAUUGAGACAGUAAUCAUUAGUUGCAGCCCUCGUGCAAUGUCCACUAUAUGUCUAACUAAUUACAGUAGUACUAUAGUAGUCGUGGCUCAGUGACAGCAGCAGUUCAGACAAAUAUGAAAGGGAACUAAAGAGGCUAAAACACAAAUGUUUUUAUUUAUUUUCAAUAAUAUAAAAAGUAUUUUUCAGGCAUUUUCUGCUCUCAUUUGAAGUUUCAGAUCGAGAAGUUUUGUUCUUUGUCCAAACUGUCCUUUGCUACUGUUUUGGCCGUGUCUCAGUAGGACUCAAGUGGUUAAACAAAAAAUGACUACAGCUGCCAAAAAAAAUUCUGGCUGAAUCUCUCGUUCAUUUUUGCCCUGAGGUUCCUCUGUGCAUUCUUGAGCCACGGCUCUGGUCUAAAUCCUUGUGGGAAUAUGUUGGUGAACUGACAACUGAGGAAACAAACAUGACCAGUACAGCUGAUGUGUGCGGAUGUGAAUACUGAAUAUUGGCAUCGGACCAAACAGACUCCCUGUCAUGUUGUUAAGGCCACUCCCAGUAAACGUUGGGUAGCUGUAUUCAAAGGAACUGCAGGAAAAAACAUGUUUUCAUGUUCUGGCAUGAGCGUGUCAUUGGCAAAAAUAUGGAACGUAGAUAAUUACGUUAUUUAUUACGAAUCACUGCUCAAGGGAAGGGUGAUAUGAUGAUAUUCCAGUCAACCAAAUUGCCAUUAAUUUGACAGCUGUAUAGCAACAUUUUAAUAUGAUUUUUGCCUAAAUGCAAUUUAGGCAAAAAUCCUUGAUUUUAAAUUACUGGAUUAGCCAAAAAAAACAGACUUCCAGUCAGUGUAUUUUUUUCACUUACAGCUUUUCAAUUGAAUUUUCUAAAAAUGGAGUACCAUUCAAGUCUUUUCAAGGAAAUCACAGGUUGUAAAAUUCAUCCCUGCUGCCAGUGUGAAACCUUUUUCCUUAGAGGUCUGUUGAAUACUUUCCUUAAAUGUAAGACCAGGGCUUAAGGUUUAAAAGAAAACUCCAAAGUUGUAGAACAAACACAUUUGUCAUGACUGAGGCUUUAUACAAUGGGAGAAUCUGUGUGUUUUUGCAUUUGUAGAUAUCAUCAGAGCCUAAAGCUGCAGUUGAGAACAUGUUCCUGUGUAAGAGUAUCAGCCCAAUCUCUUUAGUUUUAAUCAAAAGAGGAAAGCAGAUGUUAAACAGCUGGAUGGCAUUAAGUAUGAGUGAUCGGGACAGGCACACACCCAGACAUUUUCAGCAUUAAGUGCAGAACAUUCACCAUCUUAACACACAAGCAUGAGGACACAGCACAACAAUGCCACACUGUAGUACAUUUUACAUAUACUGUAGAUAUAUUUUAUUCUACAAGUAGAACUCCUUCCUGUCUUUCUUUUGCCCAUGAAUAUGCACAUUUUAACUGUAAUCCAACCGCUCUCAUGUCCAUAUGCAUUUUAUCUUAAAUUCAAAGGUUAAAUCACUGUCUCUAGUUAAGAGCCCAAACAUCCUUCUCCAUACCACUUUUACAAAAUUAAAAUAAUUUUUAAACACACCACAACGCAGAUGAUGGAUAAUUAUGUUUAGCAUUUGGUUUUCAUUUUGGGAGAACAACAACAUCCUUAUGUUUUAAACAGAAAUAAUCUGACUAAAUCUUCAGUGAGGUUUCCAUUAUAUGGUCACUAUUAUGUGGCGUUACAUGUUGUAUUGAUGGACAAUCUAAUCUUGAAGAGGGAUAAUUAAAACAAAACACAAUGGUGCAUGACUUUGCUUGAGUUUACUCUGGUCUGAUGACAUACAUUUACAUUUUGUUAUACUCUAAUACAUAAUACUACUAAUAAACAGAAUCAGAGAGUAACUAUGUGAUAUCAUGACAAUGUUGAGUAGGUUUUACUUCCUGCGUCUUCAUCAGGGAGAAAAUUGAACCAGCCAAACUAGUUUGUUGUGUGUGUCAGUGAGAUCAUGAUAAGAAAAUACAUUGGGCUGAGGCAGGUAGGGCACUACCUGACUACAGACACAAACACACACACACACACACACACACACGCGCGGUGUGAACAAUUUAGGGUGUUGGUCGUUCCAGUAACAGUGUAUUGGGUGUGGCUGCACGUUGAAAAUGCACACAGUGGGCUUGGCUGUAGUCUUCCUUUAUAAAAUCUGUCAGGAUUAUCUGCAUUAGUGUUUGUUUGAAAUUUGCAUGCCUGCAUGUUUACAUGUUGAAAAACUUAAUGCAUAGGCAGGUAUCUGGCUUCUGAGACCUGUCAGAACACAAUAAACACAUAAGCAAAUAUAUUUGUAGAGGCAUGUUUCCUAAAGUAGAUUAUUUUACACAGUAAAAUCUUCGCUUUAUACAGCAGCAUCUACCCCACUGAAACACAUUUUAUCUCACCUUUUUUGUCUCAUAUGAUGAUGUGUACAAGGAGUGCAGUACACUUAAAAUCUG
Long non-coding RNA from Sander lucioperca (pikeperch), 3342 nucleotides. RefSeq lists it as uncharacterized. NCBI's taxonomy places the organism in Eukaryota, Metazoa, Chordata, Actinopteri, Perciformes, Percidae. The record is from RefSeq and is a predicted model, not a curated record. The transcript is spliced from 2 exons.